UGGGCUGAGGAUAGAUGACAGAUCUGGGACAGACAAGGAUACGUCCUGGAUAUGAUAGGUCUGGAUGAGAUUGAGACACGCAGGAUCGCGGACGUGUUUGGGAUAGGUCGUGGACGCCAUAGGAGAGCGAGGACGCGCCAGGAUGCAUCCAGGAUGAAUGUCGUGUCCGGAUCCUAUCCCGCAGUUCCAUCAGGGAGAUGCUGACGGUAGUGACUGGGCCCCUGGCGAUACCUAGUUAGGCCACCCACCUUAGUCCGCUACACUCUGUUCUGCAACAAUUUGCUGAACUACUCUAGAAAAAAAUCAACAGCCCCGUUUGUUUUAACAGAGAGAAAAUAACAGACAGAAAAGAUACCUAGCAGGAAGGACCGGAAGGACCACCGGGGCCACCCCCCUCAGUGUGCGAAAGACACGUCAUUUCAACGAAUAGUUGGACCCCGAGGCAGAGGUGAGCAUAACGGGCCGUCCCGCCAGUCACAGGAUGGUCUACAAAUUGACAAGUGCGCGUGUGACGCAGGUAUAGGCGCUGAUAGGCGGCGAGAGAGCGUCUUACUCUCACUGUCUGUUUUCGGACAAUCGCGGGACUGGUCGACCGCCCGGUCGGUGCUCACAUCUGCCCUAAGGCAGCGCGGCGACACGGGCAGGACACUCACAGGACAAAACUGGCGACAAGAGCGAUAAGCACGGCACGUCCUUGUCCGGUCCGGCAGCCCCGUCCCCCCGGGCACCGACGGGCACCCCGGACAGCUAUAAUGCAUCCGGCUCGGCGCGGCGGGCGACCCACCCGCACAGCAGUGUAAGGCCGAAAUGCCAAUGCAGUUCGAAAAAUCUCAGACUAAAAGUUUAUUUCUAAUCUGUCGCUAUGGCUA
This is a long non-coding RNA of Frankliniella occidentalis (western flower thrips), 869 nucleotides long. RefSeq lists it as uncharacterized. NCBI's taxonomy places the organism in Eukaryota, Metazoa, Arthropoda, Insecta, Thysanoptera, Thripidae. The record is from RefSeq and is a predicted model, not a curated record. The transcript has 2 exons.